CCCUUAGAUGUCCUGGGCCGCACGCGCGCUACACUGAGUGUCUGAGAUACGAGUCUGCCUGGUCCGGCAAGGUCUAGGUAAUCGCUAAAAGACACAUCAUGAUUGGGAUAGAUUAUUGCAAAUAUUAAUCUUGAACGAGGAAUUCCUAGUAAGCGCAAGUCAACAGCUUGCGUUGAUUACGUCCCUGCCCUUUGUACACACCGCCCGUCGCUACUACUGAUUGGAUGUUUAAGCGAGGUUCUCGAACUGCUAGCGACUUAGCUUCGGUGAGGUCGCAGUGUGGGAAGUGAACCUAGCUUUGGUGUCUAGAGGAAGUAAAAGUCGUAACA
Molecule: ribosomal RNA, 329 nt
Filed under: uncultured eukaryote
Lineage: Eukaryota
Description: partial 18S ribosomal RNA
Rfam family: Eukaryotic small subunit ribosomal RNA
Source: RNAcentral